This 866-nucleotide long non-coding RNA is filed under the name Mytilus galloprovincialis (Mediterranean mussel). Lineage: Eukaryota; Metazoa; Mollusca; Bivalvia; Mytilida; Mytilidae. The record is from RNAcentral.
CAUAGAAAAUGAUAGUGCGAGAGAGGCAUCCGUGUACUAUGGACACAUUCUUGUGAUUAACUAAGUAUGAUUUUCCUUGAAACAAGGUAUAAGUAUCUGUGUUGUCCAUUCGGGUGAAACAUAGUAAGACGACAUAUUCUAUUAGUUUAUCUUUAGGUUUGGAAUGGGAAAAUAUGUGUGUAAGGUGUUGAAAUGUCAAUUGCAUAAUACCAUACCAUUACAUGAGGAAUGAAUGUAUGUACUAUCAAAGAUAUCUGAAAUUUUCUAGGAUACACAUCUGAUUCACAACACUCAAUCAGUAGGAAGCUCACAAUAAUUCUGAAGCUAGGCUUUGAUUAUUGAUACAAUUGUGUCUUUGGUUUGGAAUGAGGAUUCGGGGAGCAUUCAAAGACUCGUUAAUAUAACGUUGUGAGUAAUGACAAUUCAGUGAUUAAGAUAUCCAAUACAAACAAAGAAUAUCCAGUUUUUCAUAUUUGGAUGAAAUUCCAAAUUCCAAAUGCCUAUACUACACACACUUACAAAAACUAAUAAGAAAGGUACAUGUUUUAAAUGGCGGCUCUGUAUUUCAAAGGGUUUGGCCUCGAUGGAUGAGUGAACUAAGUAGUAGAACUACUUUAUCACUAGCCUGUCAACACUGAGGUUGUGAGUUCGAAUCCCGCAGAUGACCGGCGCUCGAAUACAAUAUUAAUUGAAUAGAUUUGCCAGUUUUCCUUCAAAAAGUCGGUGGUUCAUUACGGGCACAACGGCUUUCUCAAUCAAUAAAAACUGACAACCACGAAAUAGCACAAUAGUGCGGAAAGUGGCGUCUAACACAAAUUAAAUAACCAAUCAUUUCAAAGUGAAAUUAAAAAACUCAAAACGUAGCA